This 253-nucleotide ribosomal RNA is filed under the name uncultured bacterium. Its description in RNAcentral is "partial 16S ribosomal RNA". It matches the Rfam family "Bacterial small subunit ribosomal RNA", at positions 524 to 776 of the family's 1533-position model. The record is from RNAcentral.
UACGGAGGAUCCAAGCGUUAAUCGGAAUUACUGGGCGUAAAGGGCGCGUAGGCGGUUAAGUAAGUCGGAUGUGAAAUCCCCGGGCUCAACCUGGGAAUUGCAUUCGAUACUGCUUAGCUAGAGUGUGGAAGAGGGAAGCGGAAUUUCCGGUGUAGCGGUGAAAUGCGUAGAUAUCGGAAGGAACACCAGUGGCGAAGGCGGCUUCCUGGUCCAACACUGACGCUGAGGCGCGAAAGCGUGUGGAGCAAACAGG